UACGUAGGGGGCAAGCGUUGUCCGGAUUUAUUGGGCGUAAAGAGCGUGUAGGCGGCCAGGUAGGUCAGCUGUGAAAACUCGAGGCUCAACCUCGAGACGCCGAUGGAAACCAUCUGACUAGAGUCCGGAAGAGGAGAGUGGAAUUCCUGGUGUAGCGGUGAAAUGCGCAGAUAUCAGGAAGAACACCCGUGGCUAAGGCGGCUCUCUAGUACGUGACUGACGCUGAGACGCGAAAGCGUGGGGAGCGAACAGG
Molecule: ribosomal RNA, 253 nt
Filed under: uncultured bacterium
Lineage: Bacteria
Description: partial 16S ribosomal RNA
Rfam family: Bacterial small subunit ribosomal RNA
Source: RNAcentral